GGUUCCAUAACGUAGUGGUUAGCACAUCUGCUUUACACGCAGAAGGUCCUGAGUUUGCACCUCAGUAGAGUCA
Molecule: transfer RNA, 73 nt
Filed under: Pteropus alecto (black flying fox)
Lineage: Eukaryota; Metazoa; Chordata; Mammalia; Chiroptera; Pteropodidae
Rfam family: tRNA
About the family: Transfer RNA (tRNA) molecules are approximately 80 nucleotides in length. Their secondary structure includes four short double-helical elements and three loops (D, anti-codon, and T loops).
Source: Rfam by way of RNAcentral